This 574-nucleotide ribosomal RNA is filed under the name Sporobolomyces johnsonii. RNAcentral's name for it is "eukaryotic LSU rRNA". It matches the Rfam family "Eukaryotic large subunit ribosomal RNA", at positions 62 to 648 of the family's 3401-position model. RNAcentral also lists the same sequence under 1 other name. Lineage: Eukaryota; Fungi; Basidiomycota; Microbotryomycetes; Sporidiobolales; Sporidiobolaceae. The record is from RNAcentral.
AAACUAACAAGGAUUCCCCUAGUAGCGGCGAGCGAAGCGGGAAAAGCUCAAAUUUGUAAUCUGGCGCUUUCGGCGUCCGAGUUGUAAUCUCGAGAAGUGUUUUCCGCGUCAGACCGCACACAAGUCUCCUGGAACGGAGCGUCAUAGUGGUGAGAACCCAGUACACGGUGCGGAUGCCUGAUGCUUUGUGAUACACUUUCGAAGAGUCGAGUUGUUUGGGAAUGCAGCUCAAAUUGGGUGGUAAAUUCCAUCUAAAGCUAAAUAUUGGCGAGAGACCGAUAGCGAACAAGUACCGUGAGGGAAAGAUGAAAAGCACUUUGGAAAGAGAGUUAACAGUACGUGAAAUUGUUGGAAGGGAAACGCUUGAAGUCAGACUUGCUAUUCGGAGCUUGCUUCGAUUCGCAGGCCCGCAUCAGUUUUUCGGGGCGGAAAAUCGUAGAGAGAAGGUAGCAGUUUCGGCUGUGUUAUAGCUUUCUACUGGAUUCGUCCUGGGGGACUGAGGAACGCAGCGUGCUUUUUGCAUGGGCUUCGGCCUAUCCACGCUUAGGAUGCGGGUGGAAUGGCUUUAAACGAC